GAUGAACGCUGGCGGCGUGCCUAAUACAUGCCAGUCGAGCGAACAGACGAGGAGCUUGCUCCUCUGACGUUAGCGGCGGACGGGUGAGUAACACGUGGAUAACCUACCUAUAAGACUGGGAUAACUUCGGGAAACCGGAGCUAAUACCGGAUAAUAUAUUGAACCGCAUGGUUCAAUAGUGAGAGACGGUUUUGCUGUCACUUAUAGAUGGCUCCGCGCCGCAUUAGCUAGUUGGUAAGGUAGCGGCUUACCAAGGCAACGAUGCGUAGCCGACCUGAGAGGGUGAUCGGCCACACUGGAACUGAGACACGGUCCAGACUCCUACGGGAGGCAGCAGUAGGGAAUCUUCCGCAAUGGGCGAAAGCCUGACGGAGCAACGCCGCGUGAGUGAUGAAGGUCUUCGGAUCGUAAAACUCUGUUAGUAGGGAAGAACAAAUGUGUAAGUAACUAUGCACGUCUUGACGGUACCUAAUCAGAAAGCUACGGCUAACUACGUG
RNAcentral lists this ribosomal RNA (497 nucleotides) under uncultured bacterium. Its description in RNAcentral is "partial 16S ribosomal RNA". It matches the Rfam family "Bacterial small subunit ribosomal RNA", at positions 28 to 507 of the family's 1533-position model. The record is from RNAcentral.